GGCCCCAUGCUGUGCAGAGAGAAAACCUGCUCAGCCCUUCCCUGCCUCUCCCACCUGAUGAUGCAUUUGCACUUACCCUUCUGAAAAAUCUCAUCUUCCUGAGGCACUUUGAUUGCUCUAGGUAGACGCUGCCCUUUGUUGCCUGCAGCAUUAUCCCUUCCCUGUCCCUGCCUGCUGGAGCUGCUUCUUGCAUGCUCCACAAAGCAGCCAGGCACUGUCCUCUGUUUUAAUUGCUUUUGCCCACCUCCUGUCUUGGCCUCACAUUAGCUUUAGGGGAUGUGGGGCAGGGGAAGGGCUUGGAAAUAGGAAACAUUUGGGUGCUAAGAGGCAGGGGAAGGAGGGUAAGCAGGUACCCGCUGGCUUGGUGGGAGCAGAUGUGUCAGUGCAGGCACCUGCAUGGAUAUGGACAAUAAUUUCUCUGUCUUUGCAGAGAUACAGCCUUGAAGUUUGCCUCUUUUAUUCUGUAGGGACCACUGACUGCAGAAAACAGAUGCCAUCUGUCCACCGUGCCUUGUAAAUCAGAUUUUAAUCAUCUCAGGGAGAGCUCUGUCUCCAGCUGAGUGCUGCAAACCAGAUUUCCUGGCUGAUGGUGGAAAAUAUCUUAGGCCAUGCCUGAAUUUGUCAGGAGAUUUGCCAGAAAGGAUGGCUCCUCACAGAAGUCCCAAGUCACUCACCUCUACCAUUUUACACAAAAGAAGAGCAUCCUCCCAGGUUGUGUAUCAUCACAUCACAAGAGAGUGGUUACAGCAGUCGUAUCCUGGGACGAAUCAAGUCAGCUCAUCAAAACCCAAAUCUAAUGGUAGUGCUUGGGGAGUAGGCUGGAAUGGGAAGAGCGUAGAACACCCCCUUUCCAGAAGAGCAAAGGAGACUGAAGAUUAAAGCAAUUCUUGAGCUGGUUUCUAAUGAGCCUGCUGCAGCUUUUCCAGGUGAAUCAAAGAAAUUAAAAUCCUUGGGCAAAACAAAUAUUUCCAUUCAAGUCCUGUUGUCUUCCUAUUCCCUAAUAUUUCCCCAAAAUCCUUAUUCCUGACCCAGAUGCUCAGCCCAGUUUCAGUUAUGAGGAUGCUGGGACUGGGGGUCACACUCACACCUAUUUCCAGGUGAGACUGUGUUGUCUGGAGGAUGUUGGAAUCAUCACUUUAGUGGAGCCCAGUGAACCCUCAUCAAGGCUGGCUUUGUCCUACAUCCCUCCAAGGGAUCCUUCACUUGUGGUACUUCUCACAAGCACCAUGAUUUUUCCUUUCUUUCUUCCUCUGCAAAGGAAGAGAAUUUAAAGAUUAAAUCCCACUGAGAAAUUUAAAAAAUCAUAGGUCCCUUGAGACAAAAGGUACAGCAAAACUAAACUGCAUGAGCAGGGAGACAGCUUUUCUACAUGUUGGGGGAAGUUUGGUAGGAAAGUAUUUCUCAGCUAAACACUCUCCCUCUGGUUUGGAUUAAUAGCUUGGAUCCAACUUCACUAUUCCCAUAACAAAUAAAUCUUAAACCAUAACUAGCCCAAGAGAAGAAGUAUCUGCUGGAUGUCUUUUCAAUGCCAUAUUUUUUUCCUCUGUAAAGCACUCCUCUUUUAAAAGCUCCCUGGCUCUUCACAGCUUAUUUUCCAUUGAUUUUAUAGAGAUGUCGGUACCAAACACAUGCAGAUAACUAAGAUUCCAGGUGGGAACAUACACAAGAUACAUGUGACAAAAAGCAUGAGGCAAGAUGUUCCCAGAAAAACAAUGUUUAAUUUACUGCUUUUCAAUUAUCCAUGAGGAGACCCAGACAUAUUUUUUUUUUUACAUAUUCAGCUAUUAGUCAAAAUUAUUUGACUCUACAAGACCCCAC
Oenanthe melanoleuca is the source of this 1818-nucleotide long non-coding RNA. RefSeq lists it as uncharacterized. The record is from RefSeq and is a predicted model, not a curated record. Lineage: Eukaryota; Metazoa; Chordata; Aves; Passeriformes; Muscicapidae. The transcript is spliced from 4 exons.